CCCUUAGAUGUUCUGGGCCGCACGCGCGCUACACUGUUCGACGCAGCGAGUCUUAACCUUGACCGAAAGGUUUGGGUAAUCUUCAGCAAAGUCGAACGUGAUGGGGAUCGAUCAUUGCAAUUAUUGAUCGUGAACGAGGAAUUCCUAGUAAGUGCAAGUCAUCAGCUUGCGCUGAUUACGUCCCUGCCCUUUGUACACACCGCCCGUCGCUACUACUGAUUGGGUGUUCAAGUGAGAUGCUUAGACCCUUGUUGCAUGGUUCAUUAUUGUGCUCCGAAAGGAAAAAGUUUCAAGCUUGAGUGUCUAGAGGAAGUAAAAGUCGUAACA
Molecule: ribosomal RNA, 327 nt
Filed under: uncultured eukaryote
Lineage: Eukaryota
Description: partial 18S ribosomal RNA
Rfam family: Eukaryotic small subunit ribosomal RNA
Source: RNAcentral